This 510-nucleotide ribosomal RNA is filed under the name uncultured bacterium. Its description in RNAcentral is "bacterial SSU rRNA". It matches the Rfam family "Bacterial small subunit ribosomal RNA", at positions 28 to 530 of the family's 1533-position model. The record is from RNAcentral.
GAUGAACGCUAGCGGGAGGCUUAACACAUGCAAGUCGAGGGGCAGCAUAGGGUAGCAAUACUCUGAUGGCGACCGGCAAACGGGUGAGUAACGCGUAUGCAACCUACCCUGUACAGGGGGAUAACCCGGAGAAAUUCGGACUAAUAUCCCGUAAUAAUAUCCGGAGGCAUCUUUGGAUAUUUAAAGUUUCGACGGUACGGGAUGGGCAUGCGUAACAUUAGCUGGUUGGUAAGGUAACGGCUUACCAAGGCUAUGAUGUUUAGGGGUCCUGAGAGGGUGGUCCCCCACACUGGUACUGAGACACGGACCAGACUCCUACGGGAGGCAGCAGUGAGGAAUAUUGGUCAAUGGGCGCAAGCCUGAACCAGCCAUCCCGCGUGCAGGAAGACGGCCCUAUGGGUUGUAAACUGCUUUUCCAGGGAGAGAAACUUACGCACGUGUUGCGUGACUGACGGUACCCUGGGAAUAAGCAUCGGCUAACUCCGUGCCAGCAGCCGCGGUAAAACGUAG